GGAAGAGCGGACACAGGAGGACAGUGAGUGGGGGCCAGGAGAAAGCUACAGAGACGCUCUCAGCACCGGGAUCACCUCGGACAGGAAGGGGCAAGGCACCCGUGAGACCCACUUCGGAGAACAAGAAAGAGUCCUUGUGAGUCCAAAAUACAGUAUCUGAAAAAAGUUAAAACUUAAUAGAAGGGUUGGAAGAAUGAGUUGAGGAACUCACAGAAGAAAGAACAAACAUCUGAGAGACAGAAACCGGGGAAGAGAAGACGAGGGAUGGUGGAGGGUCUCUGCGGAAGGUCUAGUGCUUGACAAGGGACAGAGGUUCCAGAAAGAGACAGAGGACCAGUGUGAAGAAAUAGUACAGGGCUCUUCCCAGAACCUCCAUAGUGGAAGAGCUGCCAAGCUCCCAGCACAAUAAAAACUGCAGACCAAGGAACGGAUUCAAAAACCCCACGAUGUUGCAUUGUUGUGAAAUUUCAGUGUCAUCAGAAGGAGAAGAUACUGGGGGUUUCUAGAAAGCGAACCUCGGUCUCCAGGAGAUGGGCAGGCACCAGAGGACGCGGCUUGCCUCCCACGAGGCCCUUCUUAAGAAGCUCCGGGGCUGAGCCUCCCAGCACAGAGCGGGGUGCCGUCCAGUCGAGAAGACAUUGGAUUUUGAAGGCUCAGCACAAAAACAGAACGGGAGGUAUCUCAUGAAUCACGUGUGCUGCUCCCAGCACAAAUCAGGACUUGCAUCCAUUCCUCCAGCGCAUGUUCAUGAGCCCCUGCUGUGUGCCAGGCGCCGUCCUGGGCGCUGGGACGCAGAAGGCAGCGGACGUCGGCAGAGACCGAGGACCUGGCAGAGUCUUUAGGUUUUCCUACAAAGAGGACUGUGCAGUCUGUGAGAAGGGACGUUCCUUCCUUUACGAGCUGUCUGCCUUUUACUUAUUGUUCAGUGACUGAUCGUGUGGGUUGUGACCUGCAGAAGAAAGUUCAGAAGAAGCGGCAAGAGCUGAUACUCCUGCCUUAGUCCCAGUCUUUGCGGGAAGAGCAUUCCAUUUUCCACCAGUAAGUAUGACGUCAUCCACAGGGGUUUCAGAGAUGCCCUUAAUUGAUUUGAGAAUGUUUCUGUUCAUCCUCAGUUUGCUGAGAGGGUCUUUUUUUCAAUCACGAAUGGGUGUUGAGUUUU
This is a non-coding RNA of Vicugna pacos (alpaca), 1159 nucleotides long. Lineage: Eukaryota; Metazoa; Chordata; Mammalia; Artiodactyla; Camelidae. The record is from RefSeq and is a predicted model, not a curated record.